GACGAACGCGGCGGCGUGCUUAACACAUGCAAGUCGAACGAAGCUGCCUGGAGGAAGUUUUCGGAUGGAAUUUAGGUAGACUUAGUGGCGGACGGGUGAGUAACGCGUGGAUAACCUGCCUUAUACAGGGGGAUAACGGAGAGAAAUUUCCGCUAACACCGCAUAAGACCACAGCACCGCAUGGUGCAGGGGUAAAAUAUUUAUAGGUAUAAGAUGGAUCCGCGUCCGAUUAGCUAGUUGGUGAGGUAAAGGCCCACCAAGGCGACGAUCGGUAGCCGGCCUGAGAGGGUGAACGGCCACAUUGGGACUGAGACACGGCCCAAACUCCUACGGGAGGCAGCAGUGGGGAAUAUUGGACAAUGGGGGAAACCCUGAUCCAGCGACGCCGCGUGAGUGAAGAAGUAUUUCGGUAUGUAAAGCUCUAUCAGCAGGGAAGAAAAUGACGGUACCUGACUAAGAAGCCCCGGCUAACUACGUGCCAGCAGCCGCGGUAAUACGUAGGGGGCAAGCGUUAUCCGGAUUUACUGGGUGUAAAGGGAGCGCAGACGGCAAUGCAAGUCUGAAGUGAAAGGCGUGGGCUCAACCCAUGAACUGCUUUGGAAACUGUAUAGCUUGAGUGUCGGAGGGGUAAGCGGAAUUCCUAGUGUAGCGGUGAAAUGCGUAGAUAUUAGGAGGAACACCGGAGGCGAAGGCGGCUUACUGGACGACAACUGACGUUGAGGCUCGAAGGCGUGAGGAGCAAACAGG
Molecule: ribosomal RNA, 747 nt
Filed under: uncultured Lachnospiraceae bacterium
Lineage: Bacteria; Bacillati; Bacillota; Clostridia; Lachnospirales; Lachnospiraceae
Description: bacterial SSU rRNA
Rfam family: Bacterial small subunit ribosomal RNA
Source: RNAcentral